RNAcentral lists this ribosomal RNA (498 nucleotides) under uncultured bacterium. RNAcentral describes it as "partial 16S ribosomal RNA". It matches the Rfam family "Bacterial small subunit ribosomal RNA", at positions 30 to 523 of the family's 1533-position model. The record is from RNAcentral.
AUUGAACGCUGGCGGCAUGCCUUACACAUGCAAGUCGAACGGUAACAGGUCUUCGGAUGCUGACGAGUGGCGAACGGGUGAGUAAUACAUCGGAACGUGCCUAGUAGUGGGGGAUAACUACUCGAAAGAGUGGCUAAUACCGCAUGAGAUCUACGGAUGAAAGCAGGGGAUCGCAAGACCUUGUGCUACUAGAGCGGCCGAUGGCAGAUUAGGUAGUUGGUGGGGUAAAAGCUUACCAAGCCGAGGAUCUGUAGCUGGUCUGAGAGGACGAUCAGCAACACUGGGACUGGGACACGGCCCAGACUCCUACGGGAGGCAGCAGUGGGGAAUUUUGGACAAUGGGCGAAAGCCUGAUCCAGCAAUGCCGCGUGCAGGAUGAAGGCCUUCGGGUUGUAAACUGCUUUUGUACGGAACGAAAAGCCCCGGGUUAAUACCCUGGGGUCAUGACGGUACCGUAAGAAUAAGCACCGGCUAACUACGUGCCAGCCGCCGCCGUAA